UGCAAGUCGAGGGGCAGCAUCAUCAAAGCUUGCUUUGAUGGAUGGCGACCGGCGCACGGGUGAGUAACACGUAUCCAACCUGCCGACAACACUGGGAUAGCCUUUCGAAAGAAAGAUUAAUACCGGAUGGCAUAGUUUUCCCGCAUGGGAUAAUUAUUAAAGAAUUUCGGUUGUCGAUGGGGAUGCGUUCCAUUAGGCAGUUGGCGGGGUAACGGCCCACCAAACCUACGAUAGAUAGGGGUUCUGAGAGGAAGGUCCCCCACAUUGGAACUGAGACACGGUCCAAACUCCUACGGGAGGCAGCAGUGAGGAAUAUUGGUCAAUGGACGAGAGUCUGAACCAGCCAAGUAGCGUGAAGGAUGACUGCCCUAUGGGUUGUAAACUUCUUUUAUACGGGAAUAAAGUGAGCCACGUGUGGCUUUUUGUAUGUACCGUAUGAAUAAGGAUCGGCUAACUCCGUGCCAGCAGCCGCGGUAAUACGGAGGAUUCGAGCGUUAUCCGGAUUUAUUGGGUUUAAAGGGAGCGUAGGCGGGUUGUUAAGUCAGUUGUGAAAGUUUGCGGCUCAACCGUAAAAUUGCAGUUGAUACUGGCGACCUUGAGUGCAACAGAGGUAGGCGGAAUUCGUGGUGUAGCGGUGAAAUGCUUAGAUAUCACGAA
This 657-nucleotide ribosomal RNA is filed under the name uncultured bacterium. RNAcentral describes it as "bacterial SSU rRNA". It matches the Rfam family "Bacterial small subunit ribosomal RNA", at positions 56 to 703 of the family's 1533-position model. The record is from RNAcentral.